GACUGGUUAUAGUGGUUCAGUUACAGCGGAAGUAUGCAACCACUCUAUUAGCAAAGAGUUGCUUCAGGAUAGAUGGGGUUGGACCCAAUAACUGUUAGAUGAGAGAUCCAAUGACGGCCUUGCAUCUGCUUGUGAAUGAUAGGUUGGGCUUAGCUAAAGAGUUAUCUACACAUCGGUGUGUAUGUUAUCAAUAACUAUUAGGUGAUGUACAUGGCAUUGGUGGGACCGCAAUACCCACUAAGAAUCUAUUUAUCGUGUUAGGAUUUUUGUUUCCCAUCCAA
Molecule: long non-coding RNA, 281 nt
Filed under: Elaeis guineensis (African oil palm)
Lineage: Eukaryota; Viridiplantae; Streptophyta; Magnoliopsida; Arecales; Arecaceae
Description: long non-coding RNA (EGUI_LNC010205)
Source: RNAcentral